Molecule: ribosomal RNA, 429 nt
Filed under: Gemmatimonadota bacterium
Lineage: Bacteria; Pseudomonadati; Gemmatimonadota
Description: Gemmatimonadetes bacterium partial 16S ribosomal RNA
Rfam family: Bacterial small subunit ribosomal RNA
Source: RNAcentral
UAGGGAAUCUUCGGCAAUGGACGAAAGUCUGACCGAGCAACGCCGCGUGAGUGAAGAAGGUUUUCGGAUCGUAAAACUCUGUUGUUAGAGAAGAACAAGGACGUUAGUAACUGAACGUCCCCUGACGGUAUCUAACCAGAAAGCCACGGCUAACUACGUGCCAGCAGCCGCGGUAAUACGUAGGUGGCAAGCGUUGUCCGGAUUUAUUGGGCGUAAAGCGAGCGCAGGCGGUUUCUUAAGUCUGAUGUGAAAGCCCCCGGCUCAACCGGGGAGGGUCAUUGGAAACUGGGAGACUUGAGUGCAGAAGAGGAGAGUGGAGUUCCAUGUGUAGCGGUGAAAUGCGUAGAUAUAUGGAGGAACACCAGUGGCGAAGGCGGCGCUCUGGUCUGUAACUGACGCUGAGGCUCGAAAGCGUGGGGAGCAAACAGG